Molecule: non-coding RNA, 105 nt
Organism: Otolemur garnettii (small-eared galago)
Lineage: Eukaryota; Metazoa; Chordata; Mammalia; Primates; Galagidae
Source: Rfam
GUUCACUUUGGAAGGAUAUAUACUAAAGUUAGAACAAUGUAGACAAGCAGAGCAUAGCCCCUGCACAAAGAUGACACAAAAAUUUAUGAAGCUCUCCAUAAUUGU